UACGUAGGUGGCGAGCGUUGUCCGGAUUUAUUGGGCGUAAAGCGCGUGCAGGUGGUUGGUUAAGGCCGAUGUGAAAUCUCCCGGCUCACCUGGGAGGGUGCGUUGGCGACUGGCCGACUGGAGGCAGGUAGAGGCCGGUGGAAUUCCCGGUGUAGUGGUGAAAUGCGUAGAUAUCGGGAGGAACACCAGUGGCGAAAGCGGCCGGCUGGGCCUGUCCUGACGCUGAGACGCGAAAGCGUGGGGAGCGAACCGG
This 253-nucleotide ribosomal RNA is filed under the name uncultured bacterium. RNAcentral describes it as "partial 16S ribosomal RNA". It matches the Rfam family "Bacterial small subunit ribosomal RNA", at positions 524 to 776 of the family's 1533-position model. The record is from RNAcentral.